AGCAUCUCUGAUAGAAAACAAAACCAAUGAUGUCACUUUGAACAGUCGUGAAAAACAGAAUCCAAUAAAGAGAAAUGUUUUACUUUAAUGAAAGACAGAGACAGAUGUGCAGACGGAAACACUGGUCUCUAUCAACCAAUGUGCUUUUUGUGUGAAGACUGACACCACAGUUCCUCAGGAAAUAUGUUGCUGGAAGGAAUUUGAGACCAGCCAGCUCCUCAGCAAGAUUGAGGAUGAGCAGUCUCUGGGUGCCCGACUGCAGAAGAAGAUCAAGGAGCUCCAGGUUCAAUUCUGGGGCCUCUUCUGUUCAACAUCUGCAUGCUUCCACUGGCUCAGAUUAUGAAAAACAACAAAGUGUGUCAUCAUCACAUCAUUGUGCAGACGACACAUACAGAACAUACAUAACUUUAUCACCUGAGGACUAUAAUCCCUUAGAAGGGCUAGGAUGAACGAUUGAAAGUCACCACUCAGCUUCAAUCGCUGAUGUUAAAAACCACAAACAAAGCCCAAAAUGUAGGUGUAACUAUGGAUUCAUCAACCUGAACAGCCAUAUUAAGACAAUUAAAAAAUCAGCCUACUAUCACCUGAAGAAUGUAUCAAAGGUCUCUGUAAAAGGUCAAUUGGAAAGCUGCAGCUGAUUCAGAAAGCUGCAGCUCGAGUCCUCACUAAGCCCAAGAAAGUGGAUCACAUCACUCCAAUUCUGAGGUCUUUGCAUUGGCUUCCUGUUCUACCUGCUGCUACCUUACGAACCAUCCCGACCCCUCAGGUCAUCUGGGACUGGUGUACUUUGUGUUCCAAGAAUCAGAACUAAACAUAAAAAGGCAGCGUUCAGAUUUUCUGCUCCACAUAUCUGCAACAAGGUCCCUGAAAGCUGCAGGCCUGCUGAGACCAUCAGCUCCUUUAAAUCCAGAUUAAAGACUAUACUGUUUGCUGUUGCCUUUAAUUGAACCAGAUUCAAUGAUAUCAAUUUCUGCAUUUCACUCCUGCAUUUUAUUUCUGCACUGCAACUUUUAUUUUUAUUUUUAUUGCUUUAUGUUUUGAUGCUUUUAAUGGUUUUAUGAGAAGCACUUUGAAUUGCCUUGUUGUUGAAAUAUGCUAUACAAAUAAACUUGCCUUGCCUUGCAUUUCAGCACUGAGGAAUGUAAGCUGAGCUUUACUGCUGAAAUGACCAUUAUUUUUUUAUUUUUUUAAUAGGCAAAGCAAGUAUAACAAUUUCAGAAGUAAUUUUUGGCCAGGUAAAUCCUGAAGUUACGGUUUCGGGCCAGUAUUUUACUUUUGAUGCAUCACUAGUAUCAACAUUUGUGAUUGUUGUACUACAGUUUGCCACAUUGUUACUGUGUCUGUACCGGUCACAUAACAUAGAAAAUAAUAAUUAUCCAAAACUAAAAUCCA
Molecule: long non-coding RNA, 1392 nt
Organism: Hypomesus transpacificus
Lineage: Eukaryota; Metazoa; Chordata; Actinopteri; Osmeriformes; Osmeridae
Exons: 5
Source: RefSeq, a predicted model, not a curated record